ACAGGAGCGGAUACGAUGGAUGGAAAGUGGACAAAGUAACCAUCAGUAGUUAUUCUUCGAAAUCCGUUACGUUUAAUUACAACUCGAAGAUUCCAAAUGAUGUUUGGUUUGGUUUUAAUUUCUGCUCUGGGUAUCAAGCUGUGGAAUCUACUGCAGCAAUGUAAAAGACAGACGAAAAUUCCAAGCUUUCAGUUAGAGCUAUGAAUUAAGUAAUGCAGUGUUAUGAGUUGUGUACUUGGAACUGUUGCUUAGAGUUGUCUGAGUUAAAAUAAAGUGAUGACAUCUUUUGUAGCAAACUGGGAAAUGGUAAUUCCUGAUAGAGCUAGUGCUUUUUCCCCUUUCUUUGAUGGUUUAGCUAUUGCUG
This 364-nucleotide unclassified non-coding RNA is filed under the name Hevea brasiliensis (rubber tree). Lineage: Eukaryota; Viridiplantae; Streptophyta; Magnoliopsida; Malpighiales; Euphorbiaceae. The record is from RNAcentral.